Molecule: long non-coding RNA, 687 nt
Filed under: Anas platyrhynchos (mallard)
Lineage: Eukaryota; Metazoa; Chordata; Aves; Anseriformes; Anatidae
Description: lncRNA (ENSAPLG00020011111.1)
Source: RNAcentral
CAGUGGGGUCCUGUCCCUCUCUGCCCAUCCCAGACCAGCCCUGCCUCUGUCCCCAGGCUCCGGGAGAGCUGGGGAGCCCUUCCCUGAGGCCGUGUACGAGGAGAUCGCUUACAGCCUGGCGUGGGAGAAGCAGGCGAGGUUCAGUCUCUCAGAUGUCCCUGUCCUGCCCGGAGGUUACCCAGCAGAUGGCUAUGAUGAUGCUGGGGAGGUUUCUGACCCUGGGGAGGAUCCUGUCCCUGGGCAGGGGGACUGGGAAGUGCCCAGGACACCAGAGGAAGGAGAUGGGCUGAGGGAUGCAGCCACAGGGGGAAGCCUGCACUCCCGGAGAAGUGCUGUGGUCCAUGGAGCUGAGGGAGACACCUCGUCACCUUUCCUGGGGACCACGGGCUAUGACGAUGUUGAAGAGGUGUCUCAGGCAUAUCCCCAUGAGGACACCGAGGGUGUGACAGCACAGCCCCAUGCACAAGAAUUCCAGAGCUCCAGGCCAGCAGAGCCCAGCUCUGCUGAGCAGCUGGGUGCAGCCGGGAGGGAGGAGAGCUCAGUGCCACUGGGAGAGCCGUGAGUGCCAGGGAAUGGUGUCCCUUUUCCAGCAGUCAGCAGACACACAUGGGUAUUUCCCCUCUUGGUAUUCCCCUGUUUUUAUGCUGUGUGUUGGUAUUUCCUCAUAUUAAAACCCUCUUCCAGUCU